RNAcentral lists this transfer RNA (59 nucleotides) under Urocitellus parryii (Arctic ground squirrel). RNAcentral describes it as "Spermophilus parryii (Arctic ground squirrel) tRNA". It matches the Rfam family "tRNA", at positions 14 to 71 of the family's 71-position model. Rfam says of the family: Transfer RNA (tRNA) molecules are approximately 80 nucleotides in length. Lineage: Eukaryota; Metazoa; Chordata; Mammalia; Rodentia; Sciuridae. RNAcentral also lists the same sequence under 1 other name. The record is from Rfam by way of RNAcentral.
AGUGGUGUAGCACUUGCCUAGCAUGCAGGCAGCCCAGGGUUUGAUUCCCUGCACCAUCA